ACUCUCUUAGCUUAAUUGGUAGAGCAACAGUCUUCUAAAUUGUCGGUUAUCGGUUCGAGUCCGAUAGAGAGUU
This 73-nucleotide transfer RNA is filed under the name Bacteroidota bacterium. RNAcentral's name for it is "Bacteroidetes bacterium (activated sludge metagenome) tRNA-Arg". It matches the Rfam family "tRNA". From Rfam's summary of the family: Transfer RNA (tRNA) molecules are approximately 80 nucleotides in length. Their secondary structure includes four short double-helical elements and three loops (D, anti-codon, and T loops). Lineage: Bacteria; Pseudomonadati; Bacteroidota. The record is from RNAcentral.